AUGAAGAACGCAGCGAAAUGCGAUACGUAAUGUGAAUUGCAGAAUUCAGUGAAUCAUCGAAUCUUUGAACGCAUAUUGCGCUCUCUGGUAUUCCGGAGAGCAUGCUUGUUUGAGUAUCAGUAAACACCUCAACUCCCCUUUCUUUUUUUGAAAUGGGAGCUGGACUUGAGUGAUCCCAACGCUUUUCUCACCGAAAAGUGGCGGGUUACUUGAAAUGCAGGUGCAGCUGGACUUUUCUCUGAGCUAAAAGCAUAUCUAUUUAGUCUGCCUAAAAAACAGAUUAUUACCUUUGCUGCAGCUAACAUAAAGGAGAUUAGUUCUUGUGCUGACUGAUGCAGGAUUCACAGAGACAGCUUCGGCUGGCCUUUGUAAACUCGAUCUCAAAUCAAGUAAGACUACCCGCUGAACUUAAGCAUAUCAAUAAGCGGAGGA
RNAcentral lists this unclassified non-coding RNA (432 nucleotides) under soil metagenome. Its description in RNAcentral is "partial contains 5.8S ribosomal RNA, internal transcribed spacer 2, and large subunit ribosomal RNA". The stretch from base 1 to 119 matches the Rfam family "5.8S ribosomal RNA", at positions 36 to 154 of the family's 154-position model. The record is from RNAcentral.